Molecule: unclassified non-coding RNA, 327 nt
Filed under: soil metagenome
Description: partial contains 5.8S ribosomal RNA, internal transcribed spacer 2, and large subunit ribosomal RNA
Rfam family: 5.8S ribosomal RNA (bases 1-120)
Source: RNAcentral
GAUGAAGAACGUAGCGAAAUGCGAUAAGUAAUGUGAAUUGCAGAAUUCAGUGAAUCAUCGAAUCUUUGAACGCACAUUGCGCCCCUUGGUAUUCCGGGGGGCAUGCCUGUUCGAGCGUCAUUAUAACCCCUCAAGCUCAGCUUGGUGUUGGGGCCUGCCAACUGGCAGCCCUUAAAAUCAGUGGCGGCGCCAUCUGGCUCUAAGCGUAGUAAUUUCUCUCGCUAUAGGGUCCCGGUGGAUGCUUGCCAACAACCCCCCAUUUUCUAUGGUUGACCUCGGAUCAGGUCGGGAUACCCGCUGAACUUAAGCAUAUCAAUAAGCGGAGGC